Molecule: long non-coding RNA, 440 nt
Filed under: Salvia miltiorrhiza (redroot sage)
Lineage: Eukaryota; Viridiplantae; Streptophyta; Magnoliopsida; Lamiales; Lamiaceae
Description: long non-coding RNA (SMIL_LNC001350)
Source: RNAcentral
CAUGGAUCCUCGAUCUUCUGUGGCACACUUACCUUAUUUUCCUAUGAUCAUCAAACUUGAUCGAAGCAACUACGCAUUUUGGCGUUCACAAGCAAUUUCCACUAUUCAUGCUCAUGGUUUCGAUCAUUUCAUCUCCACCAUCGCUGCGUCUCCACUAUUCCUCAGAUACUACUCCAUCUCCACAUAUCUCAUUAGCCUCAUCUUCCUCAGACACUACUCCAUCUCCACCACCUCUUCAAAAUGCCCACUCCAUGAUUACUCGUGCCAAAUAUGGGAUUUUUAAACCCAAAAGUCACUUAGCUCAGGUAUUUUAUGUCUCUGUGAAUAGUGAGCAUGACUCUACAGAUCUAGUUGUGCAGGAUUUUGAGGCACACCUCAGUACUGCUUCUGGCUCUUUUGUGAAAGAGAUGAAUUAUCUUCCUUCUUUGCCUCUAACUACU